This 253-nucleotide ribosomal RNA is filed under the name uncultured bacterium. Its description in RNAcentral is "partial 16S ribosomal RNA". It matches the Rfam family "Bacterial small subunit ribosomal RNA", at positions 524 to 776 of the family's 1533-position model. The record is from RNAcentral.
UAUAGAGGUGGCAAGCGUUGUUCGGAAUUACUGGGCGUAAAGGGCGCGUAGGCGGUUCGUUAAGUCCUGUGUGAAAUCCCCCGGCUCAACUGGGGAACUGCACAGGAAACUAGCGGGCUUGAGUUCGGGAGAGGGAAGCGGAAUUCCGGGUGUAGCGGUGAAAUGCGUAGAUAUCCGGAGGAACACCGGUGGCGAAGGCGGCUUCCUGGACCGACACUGACGCUGAGGCGCGAAAGCUAGGGGAGCAAACGGG